RNAcentral lists this transfer RNA (56 nucleotides) under Mesobuthus eupeus (lesser Asian scorpion). RNAcentral describes it as "tRNA-Leu". The record is from RNAcentral. Lineage: Eukaryota; Metazoa; Arthropoda; Arachnida; Scorpiones; Buthidae.
CAAGAUGGCAGAUUUUAUGCGGUAGAUUUAGGAUCUAUAGACGAGUUUUUCUUUUG